This 484-nucleotide ribosomal RNA is filed under the name uncultured bacterium. RNAcentral describes it as "partial 16S ribosomal RNA". It matches the Rfam family "Bacterial small subunit ribosomal RNA", at positions 30 to 507 of the family's 1533-position model. The record is from RNAcentral.
AUUGAACGCUGGCGGCAGGCCUAACACAUGCAAGUCGAGCGGAUGAAGGGAGCUUGCUCCUGGAUUCAGCGGCGGACGGGUGAGUAAUGCCUAGGAAUCUGCCUGGUAGUGGGGGAUAACGUCCGGAAACGGGCGCUAAUACCGCAUACGUCCUGAGGGAGAAAGUGGGGGAUCUUCGGACCUCACGCUAUCAGAUGAGCCUAGGUCGGACUAGCUAGUUGGUGGGGUAAAGGCCUACCAAGGCGACGAUCCGUAACUGGUCUGAGAGGAUGAUCAGUCACACUGGAACUGAGACACGGUCCAGACUCCUACGGGAGGCAGCAGUGGGGAAUAUUGGACAAUGGGCGAAAGCCUGAUCCAGCCAUGCCGCGUGUGUGAAGAAGGUCUUCGGAUUGUAAAGCACUUUAAGUUGGGAGGAAGGGCAGUAAGUUAAUACCUUGCUGUUUUGACGUUACCAACAGGAUAAGCACCGGCUAACUUCGUG